Molecule: long non-coding RNA, 982 nt
Organism: Hibiscus syriacus
Lineage: Eukaryota; Viridiplantae; Streptophyta; Magnoliopsida; Malvales; Malvaceae
Exons: 4
Source: RefSeq, a predicted model, not a curated record
AGAUACAUUUCUUUUGCUCUACAGUCUCCAAGCCUGGGGAUGAUAGAUCUAGAUAUAUGUUGUAUUUAUGGUAUUUUGUUAGGCUUUUUGCCGGGCUUCUUAUAAAGUAGGGUAGCUAUUCUUAUUCUAGCUUUUGCUAUUCUAUCCGAAUGUCUUUGUUUUCUAGUGGAUGGUGCCAUUCUUUUUUAAAUUGCUUUUUUGCAAUUUCUGUAGGAUAGCUGGUGACUGCCUUCCCAUUCUGGAUGAUCCAAAAACGGCUUCUGGCAUGAAAAAGAUUCUAAAUUCUCAUGACGUAUAUACAUCUAAGGACUUUCCAAUAGGAACGGUUUCAGAAAGCGAAAUCCCUACGGAAGCCCUUGAAAACUGUCAACUGACAAAAAAUCUGCCCGGGCCUCUUAGUACCAAAAUGUAUUAUUCUCAAAGGAAUAUUCGCCUUCGGUUAUCGCUUAGUCAUCAGUGCUUUAGUACUCCAACCAAAGAACUUUGCAGUGACAAGGCCAAUUGACAAGUGUCACAGCAAAGCACGAUGACGUUACGGGAUUCAUCUCAGGGGGUCAGUCCUCUUGAACAGUUGGAUAAUCUGCUUACUGAGAAGCAAGAGUGUUCUCAGCAGAUAUCCAAUCAAAAUCUUGCUCAAAUUUCAGAAUUAUGCUCAAGUAAAUCCAAGAGGUACUUGCUGUCCAAUGACUUCUUAAAUCCACAGCCCCUUGAUAAUAUUCCAAGGCCUCAGGCUGAUUCUGUUGGAUUGACCCGAAGGAAAUAUGUUCCUGAGCAUGGUGCUUUUUCAGGCAACUCAGGUAGUCUAUAACAAAGUUGUUGAUUAUUUGCAGCCUCCAAAUGGAAGUGUUCAUGUUGUAUAGACAGUUCAGGGUUCGAUUUUUGCUUGGCGAAGGUGUAUUUUAACCGUACAUGAGAUUUAGGAUCCAUUUUUGAAAGCCUAGAAAAGCAUCUCUUCAGUUGUUCAUUAUAGUCUUGUGAAUUA